Camellia sinensis is the source of this 1138-nucleotide non-coding RNA. The record is from RefSeq and is a predicted model, not a curated record. NCBI's taxonomy places the organism in Eukaryota, Viridiplantae, Streptophyta, Magnoliopsida, Ericales, Theaceae.
ACUUUUCCUUGCUCUAUAUGUUAUAUUAUAUUAUCUAUUCUCCAUCCGAUCCAAUUUUACUUUUCCUUGCUCUAUAUUAUCUACUUCAGGCGUUAUAUCAAAUAUUUGCAUCCUAACAUCGUUCUAUGAGAGUGUGUUUUCUCCUUGCACCAAAUCUGAGGUUCAGGACAACACUGAAGAUCCAUAGUUGGAGGAUAUGGGAAGUUGAGGCCUAUUUGGAACAGCAUGAAUUAUUAACUGGUAAGAUCUAAUGCUUGAUAUAAUUUACAUGAUUCUUAACAUUUUCUAGAGCCCUAUAUAUAUUCUAGCCUUGUUCUGGUGGACGGGUACAGUUCUCCUUUUUAUAUGCUUUAUUUUUAGCUAGAGAUGAAUUUGUUCAUUAAAAAGAAAAGAAUAGGGAGAAGGAGUUGGAAUCUAUCAAGUAGAGAGAAGGGAAUGCCUAAAGAAAAACAUAUGAGGUACCAAAGUGAAAAAAAAAGGUAACAGUUGAUGUUAGAUUACAACAGCCAAAGAGGACUAUAAAUUUUUGUUGCCCCAAUUAGCAAAAGAGUUGCCUAUGAAUUAGAUUAGCUAUAAUUUAUAAAUACAUUUCAAAAAUGCAAUUCUCAACAACACGAUAUCACGUUUUGAUGAUGCAUGCUUUAAAAUUGCCACGGAAAAGUCAACUGGGAGUUGGGAAUCUACAUGCAAUUGACAUACCCAAAAAUCUCAGGGAAGAUUUUUGGACCAGUGUUCUCAUAUGAUGUUCACCUUUUGUUAUUGAUAUAACAGUUAGAAGAUGGUAUUGAAGACAGUUGAAUUAUUAAAUUGCUCUGUGAAUUGUUUUGUGGUUCUUUUUUUUGGGUUUUGAAAGAUGGUAUUGAAGACAGUAAAUCUUUUGAAAAAUGAAAUUCCAUUUGAGGAAGAAUCAGUAGUUUUAUUUGAAGAUGUCAAGACUGGUUUAGUUCUCGUCAACAUCAUCAAUGGCUUCUGCACCAUUGGAGCUGGAAAUCUGGUCUCUCUCCUCCCCUCUCUCUUUAUCUUUUCAUUAUUACCCAGUUUCAAUUAUUUAGUAAUGGCUAGAUUUUUCUUUACUUCAAAUUAAUAUGGAUUAGAUUGUCCCCAUCUGCUAACCCACUUGUACAACAGAUCGUUUAAA